UGGGUGACCGCAAACGGUAUGUCUGG
RNAcentral lists this non-coding RNA (26 nucleotides) under Homo sapiens (human). Lineage: Eukaryota; Metazoa; Chordata; Mammalia; Primates; Hominidae. The record is from RNAcentral.